AUUGAACGCUGGCGGCAGGCUUAACACAUGCAAGUCGAGCGGGGGAAGGUAGCUUGCUACCGGACCUAGCGGCGGACGGGUGAGUAAUGCUUAGGAAUCUGCCUAUUAGUGGGGGACAACAUCUCGAAAGGGAUGCUAAUACCGCAUACGUCCUACGGGAGAAAGCAGGGGAUCUUCGGACCUUGCGCUAAUAGAUGAGCCUAAGUCGGAUUAGCUAGUUGGUGGGGUAAAGGCCUACCAAGGCGACGAUCUGUAGCGGGUCUGAGAGGAUGAUCCGCGCCACUGGGACGGGGACACGGCCCAGACUCCUACGGGAGGCAGCAGUGGGGAAUAUUGGACAAUGGGGGGAACCCUGAUCCAGCCAUGCCGCGUGUGUGAAGAAGGCCUUAUGGUUGUAAAGCACUUUAAGCGAGGAGGAGGCUACUUUAGUUAAUACCUAGAGAUAGUGGACGUUACUCGCAGAAUAAGCACCGGCUAACUCUGUGCCAGCCGCCGCAGUAA
Molecule: ribosomal RNA, 501 nt
Filed under: uncultured bacterium
Lineage: Bacteria
Description: partial 16S ribosomal RNA
Rfam family: Bacterial small subunit ribosomal RNA
Source: RNAcentral